This 295-nucleotide unclassified non-coding RNA is filed under the name uncultured Borreliella sp. RNAcentral describes it as "partial 5S-23S intergenic spacer". The stretch from base 118 to 295 matches the Rfam family "Bacterial large subunit ribosomal RNA", at positions 1 to 186 of the family's 2925-position model. The record is from RNAcentral. Lineage: Bacteria; Pseudomonadati; Spirochaetota; Spirochaetia; Spirochaetales; Borreliaceae.
UUUUAUUCAAAUAAUAUAAAAAAUAAAAUAUAUAUAUUGACAUGGAUUAAACAAAGAUAUAUAUUAUUCUAUGUUGUAUAAACAAAUUGGCAAAAUAGAGAUGGAAGAUAAAAAUAUGGUCAAAGUAAUAAGAGUCUAUGGUGAAUGCCUAGGAGCUUUAAGGCGAAGAAGGUCGUGGUAAGCUGCGAAAAGCUUGGGGGAGAAGCAAACAUUUAUUGAUCCCAAGAUUACCGAAUGGAGUAAUCCAGCUAGCAAGAUGCUAGCUAUCUAUUAUUUAAAUAAUAGAGGCGAUACC